UAGGUGCACUCCAACAUGUGUGUGUGUACGUAAGUACACAUAGACACUGUAUUAGGUCUCAAUUAUUGGCAGCAUCUUAUUUAUCUCUGAGGUGGCAUCGUAGCAUUCAUAUGCAAAGCCUUGAAUUCUAGUCAAGGUGAUUAGUGUUCAGGUGUUGCCUAAUUCUUUUCUCCUCUGACUUCUCUCUUCCCUUUGGUCAGCCCAUUGCUAUAUCCGAAAU
Molecule: long non-coding RNA, 220 nt
Filed under: Pan troglodytes (chimpanzee)
Lineage: Eukaryota; Metazoa; Chordata; Mammalia; Primates; Hominidae
Description: long non-coding RNA NONPTRT003182
Source: RNAcentral